Molecule: ribosomal RNA, 253 nt
Filed under: uncultured bacterium
Lineage: Bacteria
Description: partial 16S ribosomal RNA
Rfam family: Bacterial small subunit ribosomal RNA
Source: RNAcentral
UACGAAGGGUGCAAGCGUUACUCGGAAUUACUGGGCGUAAAGCGUGCGUAGGUGGUGAGUUAAGUCUGUCGUGAAAGCCCCGGGCUCAACCUGGGAAUGGCGAUGGAUACUGGCUCGCUAGAGUGCGGUAGAGGAGAGUGGAAUUCCCGGUGUAGCAGUGAAAUGCGUAGAUAUCAGGAGGAACACCAAAGGCGAAGGCAGCUUCCUGGCCCAAUUCUGACGCUGAGGUGCGAAAGCGUGGGUAGCGAACGGG